AUCGUGACCUGGGUCCUUCUCCCAUCCCGUUCCACGGCCCAGCAACAUCCAGUUACUGAGGGAGAAGGAGAUCACACCAUCCAAUGGGACCUUCUUUCAUGCGUUCUUGAUUCCAGGAGAUGAACUUGGUGCUCCCUUUCCGGAUGAUCGUUUGGAUCCGGAUUUUGUGCCUGUGCCUCUGGGACAACCCAGAGGCCCUGCUGGUGAAUCAGCAGAACAGAACCCUGCCUCUGAGCCUGAAGGGGAUGCUGGAGAUGUGACUGGAGGAGGUGAUCCAGGUUCCGCUCUGAGCUCUGGGACUGAAACUCCGGCAGAUCGCAUGGGAGUGCCCCCAGGGAGGGCUUUGCCCGGUCAUGUGUUUCCUCCUGCGCUGGAGCCCAGCUGGAAUCCCAGAGGUCCGGAAAAAGGAAAGGAUGAAUCCAAAAGAGGAAAAUACUCCCAGGGCUCAUCCCGUCUCCUCAAGGAACUGGUGAAGGAAAUGGAGAAGGCAGCGCGUGGAACUGACCAACAAAGUGAGCAGGAUGCACUGCAGGAAGAAGGCAGCCAUCCCACACUGCCAGUCUCGGGCAGAGGAACGCAGGCAGCGCCAACAACUGUCAUGCCAGGGAUGAAUGCCGGGAUGAGCACAAAGGCUGCUGUUGGCAGAUCUGCGCGAAGGCGCCACAUCGCAGCGAUGGUACUGUUCUCAGCUGUGCUGCUGUCUGCGCUGGUGCUGGCCUGUGGUGCUGUGAUAUGGAUGUGCCAAAAAUACGUAGUGUGCAAGAGAGAAGAGAGAGCAGCAGAGCAGGCUCAUCCUGAUACCAACUAGGAGAGAGUUCCAACUGGAGACGAGGGCAGAACGGAGCUGGGAGAGGCAGCCGAAGAGACUCUUGCCCCAUCAAAGAAGAAUCUCAGCCAUCGUCCCAGUGCAUUCCAUUCUGCCAUCCAAGAGGCCAAAGGUCUUCAAAGUCAUCUGGAAGACUUGGAGCUUGAACUCAAAGCCGUGAAAGAGGUCCACGGGAACAGUCCUGAGUGCUGCUUUCUGUCAGGGGACGGCCCUGAAAGUGAGAGCGGAGAACCAGCAGCAGAGCUUUUGUCCUUCACCCUGCAUUCUCUGGGACAAGCAUCAGCAACAUUUCAAAGAAUCUUAGCUCGGCAUAGCUACAAUCCUGUUGAGGGUCCUAAUGAGGAGCCAGAAAGCGAGCUUCCUCUGACCGCUGGACAACACCUUAACGUCUUUGGAGCUGUGGAUGAGAAUGGCUGGUUUCAGGGAGAGCUGACAGAUGGCACAAGAGGACUGGUCCCAUCCAAUUUGGUUGCGGAGGUUUCAGAUGACGAACUGGAUACAACGAUGCCUCCGGAGCUCUGUGCUCUCCUGCUGGAUACUUGAUGAAUAAGUGGAUGCAGAGAUUCCAUCAUGCAGCAACAUCCUGUCAAAAUUCCUGCGUUACUCCAUCUGCAAGACUACCCCCUGCUCCACUUGAUGUUCAGGUGGAGUGUGUGCAGGACGUGGAUGAGCUCCUUUGGGAACACUCUGAGGUGACUGACAGUGUAACUGCAUAGUCUUGUGGUAUAUUAAACAAACAAACAAAAAAACACCACCCACAAUAAAACAAACAAC
This 1600-nucleotide long non-coding RNA is filed under the name Gallus gallus (chicken). Its description in RNAcentral is "lncRNA (ENSGALG00010017872.1)". Lineage: Eukaryota; Metazoa; Chordata; Aves; Galliformes; Phasianidae. The record is from RNAcentral.